This 4324-nucleotide long non-coding RNA is filed under the name Xyrichtys novacula (pearly razorfish). The record is from RNAcentral. Lineage: Eukaryota; Metazoa; Chordata; Actinopteri; Labriformes; Labridae.
AAAGGAGACAAGGAGGUGAGGAGAAGCAGAAAAGCUCCAUCAUCCUCUGAGCUGCUCAAGUGCAUCCUGAACCUGCUCACCUGUCAGUCUCAACAAGCACCAGCAUCUCCUGAUGCUUACACAAAAAAAUUCACACCUCACUCGCCCCUGUAUGGUGUGUAUGAAACAUUAGCUGUUCGGAUCAAAUGAGUUUUUUGAACCAGGCUGUUAACACCUGCAUUUCUGCUGUAACAUUUGGUAUCUUAACAUCGCUGUUAACGGUGUGUGAUCAAUUUUUGGAGACGGCCUCUUGUGGACACUCGAAGAAGUGCUCAAAGAAGUGCAGUUUUAGCACUUCAGUAUUAACCUCAUAUUUCAACAUCGGAGAAUGCUGUGUGUUGCUGAUGUAAGCUGUUGCUUGUGGGCGUUCAAAUCAUAAACUGUCUAUAGAAUGGGCGCCGUCUGCCUCCUCGCUGAGUGAAGCCACUCUGAGAACAGCACACUCUGGUGACAGGCUGCAGUAUAGGUCAUAAAUCCCGCCUCUUUUUUCUGUACAUCUCUGUUUUUAAAAGUUAUUGGGGGUUCAAGUUUUCUAUGAUUGAUAUUUGAUACAGCCUAUGGGCGUAUGAAGAUUGCGUAGCUCACCCGGGGGAUACGCCGUUUGAGCCAAGAGUCAUCACAGCGACUCUACUGCCGAAUGCGUACAAUACUAUUGCGCAAGUGGUGCAGUGCGUACAACGCCACUGCGCAAUAUUGGUUUCAGGAAGUGGAGAAUAAAUCCGGAAAUACCGAGAGCUUUUCGACUUCAAAUCCGUAUACUGGCGGAAGGCAGAACCAAGUUGUCCAUGGUAUAUACAGUGUAUGGUUCAAAUAUGUCGUUUCAAAUAACAAUAUGGUCUAAUUUCCAUACAGGUUUACACACUUUGCUGUCUACAUAGUAAGAAAAAAUCAAAAGAGUAGAUUAAAUGAUAACUAUUAUUCAUAACCAAAUUUCAUCAAAUCAGUACAAUGGUUUUACACCUUUAGCAUGACCUCAGAGAACAUGGCUGCUUUGUGUUGAUGGUGAAUGUUUUGUGUUAGUUCUUUCUCUAUUAAUAACCCUCUUUACAUGUAGUUUGUACUAUGACAUUUGACACAUCUUUGUCGGCUUCCAUUUUGUUUCUCUGUUAUAUCACACAGCAGAAAGAGCCGCCUGCAGGAGGAGCCUCUUCCAUUUCCUUAUUCACAUCCUUCAGCUCUUACUAAAGGAUCCCGGCCCUGAUAAUGGGAUACGUAAUCUUGUCACGACGGCCCGGGUGUGCUCACAGCUGGGUGUGCCUGGAACAUGUCCACUUGGAUGUGUCCAGGAGGUGUCCUUAUCAAGUGAUUAGGACAAGUCCAUGAACCAGCUCAGCUGUCUCCUUUGAAAGGGAAGGUGGGGCUGUUUCUGGGUAAAAAAUAACCAGGUUUAGAGCUUGAAAUUUUAUUUUCCCUUCGAUGUUUUCAAAUUCACACAUAAUAAUCCUGAAGUAGCAGAGCCAGCUCUAAGUACUACCAGCACGUGUUCAUUGUGAAGGUCUCAGGCCUCGGUGCCUCACACUCACACAUUACAUCACACUGAACUCUUAAAACAAUCUGCACAACACCAUGUGCCGCUGCUGCUGCUGCAGAGCUCAGGGUGGACUUUGCUCAACCCUCGGCUGUAAAGAAAGGCCAGUCUGCUGCUCUAAGCUGAAAGAUCGCUGCCACAGGUGAUUAACGGGCUUCCAGGCACACAGUCUGAGCACAUUUCUCAGUACAGAAGCUAUAUACACAGGUGACUGGCUCAACACAAAUUUCUGAGGGUGGUUAUCAGGAGAGGAUGCUAAAUAAGGAGGAAGGAUGAAUGAAAUGUGUUAAAACAAUAAGGAGAGGAAACAAGGGGUGAUAAAGUCAUAAAAAUGUUCAAAUGACUUGAUAUAGAUUGAUGAAAAGAUGGAGAAAGAUGGAGAAGAAGGUGUGGUACUUUCUUAUUAAUUCUCCGUAGGUUGCACAUUCUGCUGCCGGUCUCAGAAAGCCGGCUCUCCACUUCCUCUUUACCCCACUUCCUGCCGCUGCUGCUGGCCUAUGCCCUUAUAUGGCAGCCGCCGACAGCCAAUCAGAGGGCGGCAGGCAGCUCAUUCAAACGGCGAGUGUUGGAGCUGAGAAGGGUGGGAACUGCAAACAGAAAUGAACGGCAUCGCUUUUUAUACAAAACAAUAUGGCUCACACAAUCACUCUCACACAUAUACACACACACAGAGACCUGCCUGCUGGCUUGAAACAAUAACGAUGUGCUACAAUGCAACAAAGCAAAGCAACAAAUGCAAACUUUACUCAGCAAAUCAUGCUGCAGCGACACAACGAAGCUGUUUUUGUCUGGCCAAAAAAUAAAGAGGAGAGGGGGGCUCAGUUACUAUGCAGAGGAGAGGAGAGGAGAAAUUAGGUUGUUGCAGCAACACAGACAUGCUUAUCAAGAAAGUAACGCAAUAAGAAUAAAAUUAAACCCAAUAGAAUAAGAUUAAAAAUUUAGUAAAAAAUAAAAUAAGAGGCAUAUAUAUUGUUGCAAUGGCUUGAAUGAUAAAGCAGUAUAGAGAGGAGUCUGGACAUGUUAUGCAAAAGUGUCAGGUUAGGAGUGUUAUUCUACAAAAAUGGAGGAGAUGGUCAUGUAAAGCUGCACUGAGUGGACAAACACAACACCAAAUAAACUGAGAAGCACAGUGUGGAAGUAUUUUAGAUUGCAGAUGGGGAAAAAAAGGCAGACAGGGUUAUGUGUCGACUUUGUACAUAACAGAUCUCCUGAGCGUCAAUUACAAGUUUGUUGGCUCACCUGAUGGCUUGCCACCUAUGAGAAGUGGCCAAGGAGUCACCACUGAAGGAUGAAAAGAUAGAUAGAUAGAUAGAUAGAUAGAUAGAUAGAUAGAUAGAUAGAUAGAUAGAUAGAUAGAUAGAUAGAUAGAUAGAUAGAUAGAUAGAUAGAUAGUUGAAGUUUGUCUGUUACAUAAUAAUGGAAAAAAAAUGUAAGAACAGAAAAUAGUGCAGCAUUACAUUGUUUAACCCCUAACCUUAAUUCUGUGGAGUAAGCAUGAAGCAUAGAGGUUGGACUUAACUGACAACUAAAAUAGCUCUUUUGUUGAACUGAUGAUCCAUGCUUUUUUAGCAACCAAUAAAGAAAGAAACAUGAAGAGAAUGACAGAAAUCUCAGAUAUGAAGAGAUGAUGAUAAGAGAAAAGUUCUGGGAGGCUCAACAGGCUGUAAUGUUAUGUAAGAACAUUCAAACAGAGAUGAAUAACUGCCAGAGGACUGCAGACCAAAGUGCAUGGGCGUGUGGAGGUGGCUGACCUCUCUCUGCAGCUGAGGGGGCUGCACUGCAAUAAGGAAGAUCAGGAAGCAGAAGUAGGGCUGGGGCCGGUCAGCAGGCUGGAGAAUUCACCAAAAAGAGCCAAUCAGGAGGCUGGAAGGGUGUGAAAGGAGCCAAUCUGAAAGCAGGAGCUCUCCCAGCAGACAGAGACAGAUGGCUGAGGAUUGAUAAGCCUCUCUGGGUUAAACAUGCAGGGAUGAAUAAGGAGUGUGUGUGUGUGUGUGUGUGUGUGUGUGUGUGUGUGUGUGUGUGUGUGUGUGUGUGUGUGUGUGUGUGUGUGUGUGUGUGUGUGUGUGUGUGUGUCAGAAUUAGUUACAGAGACAGAAAACUCACUCCUCUCAGUUUGAAUUUACAGAUCAAGAUUGAUUCAACAUGUCACGCCCAUGUUGUGCACAGUUCCUUAUUUAGCGUUCACCAUCUUUUAGAAGCUAGAUCAUUUAGUGUGUAUGCAUUUAUGUCUCUGUAAGAAGUCAACACAUCCAUUUUUCUCCUCUCUGACUACCUCUGGUGGUUUUCCUUUCAUGGUUUGGCAACAAGACGCCGUCAUCAAACUCUAGAGUUUGUAGGUAAACCAGAAUAAAGCCUCACAACCUUAAAAGGCACCUCAUGCUCAGAUUUGGACCAAUUAGAGGCAAGAACAGCAAGAGGAAGUGAGGUGCGUUCACAGGAAGAGGAAGAGGAGAAGAACAGGGGGUCUGUUCAUGAGGAACAGAGAAACACUCGUGAGGUUAUCACACUAACUGGGCCUCUGUAGUGAGGCUCCCUUCCUUUGACAGAGAUAAAGUGAGAACUGAGUUAUGGCAUUAGUAUAGAAAAGUUUUGGGGCCAGGGGUGAGAGGAAAAGAGGAAGAUCUGUUCUUAUUAUGCACUCAGAAAAUGAAGCUGAAAUGUCAUCAAAAGAGUUGAAAGUUCAUGAUUAAGAUCAAAUCCAAAGUGAAGGCGUCACAUUGUUAACCUAAGACAUUUUUUCAAUUUCCUGCAGUGCAG